CGGUUAAAAAGCUCGUAGUUGGAUCUCGGCGAACAGGGGGCGGUUCGUUAUUUGACGGUACUGCCCCAUUUGUUCGUAUUUUUGCAAGAGGAUUGGGGGUCCCCUUUGUUGGGUGUCUCCGGUCGCUUGCAGGUUUACUUUGAAAAAAUUAGAGUGCUCAAAGCAGGCUUACACGCUUGAAUAUUCGUGCAUGGAAUAAUAGAAUAGGUAGUCGUUUCUAUUUUGUUGGUUUUCGGAAAAUGACUUAAUGAUUAAUAGGGACAAUCGGGGGCAUUAGUAUUCAAACGACAGAGGUGAAAUUCUUGGACCGUUUGAAGACUAACUACUGCGAAAGCAUUUGCCAAGAGUGUUUUCAUUAAUCAAGAACGAAAGUUAGAGGUUCGAAGGCGAUCAGAUACCGUCCUAGUUCUAACCAUAAACGAUGCCAGCUAGCGAUCUGCGGGUGUGUAAAAACAAGACCCCGCAGGGAGCUUCCGGGAAACCAAAGCUUGUGGGUUCCGGGGGAAGUAUGGUUGCAAAGCUGAAACUUAAAGGAAUUGACGGAAGGGCACCACCAGGAGUGGAGCCUGCGGCUUAAUUUGACUCAACACGGGAAAUCUCACCAGGCCCGGACACCGGAAAGGAUUGACAGAUUGAGAGC
RNAcentral lists this ribosomal RNA (640 nucleotides) under uncultured eukaryote. RNAcentral describes it as "SSU rRNA". It matches the Rfam family "Eukaryotic small subunit ribosomal RNA", at positions 616 to 1255 of the family's 1831-position model. The record is from RNAcentral.